UUUGUAACUUGAUACCAAGAAUUGUUUCAUGGAGAAUUGGGGAGCUUUUUCAUGGCCUUGCUGCCCUGUUUUCAGUUGCAUACUGUGGCAAAGACAGCUGGUAUGCAUCAUGGAGAGUGGGUUGAGAAUGCUGGUUGUUGGAUUGCAGGUUUUCUUAAUAAGUUUGAGGAAGGUUGCCACAUAAUGGUACGUUAUGAGUUAUUUUAUUCUAGCAUUCUAUUCUACCUCUUUCCUCAUCCUGUCUUCUUAUGUUUUGAAUAAGAAACUGCGAUCUUGAGAUGAAUGUUGCAAGCCCUUUGUGGGAAAUGGAGACUAAAACUACCUCAGUCAGUCUUUAGAAGAAGAGAUGGCAUUAUUAGUUGAGUCUUCAGUGGACCGAUUGGGAUAGCCUCUUCAACAAAGGCUGAAGUCAUGGCAGCCUUACCUGGCAUCAGGAUUGCAAGAGACCUGGGUUACUUGAAUCUCACCAUUAAAGGAAAUUUUGCCGAUACUAUUAAUUGGCUAGCUAAUCCUGACGGUGGUCCUUGGGCCUUAGCUCAUUACUUGGCUGAAGCGAGAGACAUUCUUUCCACUUUGAAUGCACAUUUGAGCUGGGUCCUGAGGGAGCUUAAACUCUGUAGCUGACGGUCUAGCAAAGGCUGGUGUUCACAGGGAUUACUUUUUUUGUGAUAGUAUUCUUCCUGUAUUACUCUUUGAGUGCUUAGUCUCGUGUACAUCUCCUCAUGUACCUUUUCUCACAAAAAAAAAACCACCUCAAUCAGUUUCCAGGUUCCAUUUAAAGUUAGUCCCAUGUACAUCUCCUCAUGUGCCUUUUCUCUCUAUUGAAUAAAGUUACUAGUCUUUCAACCCAACAGCCCCAGAAGUUUUACCUGCAUCCCAAUUGCUAUGAAGAAUGAUCUUUUUUCUUAUUUUUGCAACUCUGUCUUUCAACCCAACUGCCCUAGAAGUUUGUCCUACAUCCCAAUUGCUAUGAAGGAUGAGGUUUUUUCUUUUGUCACUCUAGUCUUUCGACCUAACUGCCCUAGAAGUCUGUCCUACAUCCUAAUUGCUAUGAAGGAUGUUGAAUGUGCAUUACUCUAUUGACAAAAACAGAAUAUAUCUGUAAAAUAACCACUAAAGGGGUGAAGGAAGAUAAGAAUAUGGGGAACAGGUUUUGAUAAAAUAGAUUUGAUGUUUUGGGAGGAGGUGGAGAUGUUGGUUCAUAUUCAAUCUUGGCUACCUACCAAAUCCAUGGCAUUGUGAACCAGAGGAGGUUUAACCUAUGACCCCAUUCAAGAUAACAAUUGAGAUUCCGUGAUGUUGUUGAUUGCGCAGCUAUUCGCCUUGGCAUUCCUCUCUAUUACAUCCUUGUAUUUUCACUUUAGUUUUUUACUUCUUGAUCCGUUCACAUGGUGGAAGGGA
This is a non-coding RNA of Nelumbo nucifera (sacred lotus), 1401 nucleotides long. The record is from RefSeq and is a predicted model, not a curated record. NCBI's taxonomy places the organism in Eukaryota, Viridiplantae, Streptophyta, Magnoliopsida, Proteales, Nelumbonaceae.